UCUUGGCCUCGAACAGGAAGAGGAACACAUCUACCGAGGCCGGUAGUCCCAAAUGCGCGCACAAGAUUUGAAACGCCCGCACGAAUGCCCAGCUGUUGGGAUGGAGCUGGGCGGCGGCGAUGUCAAGCUCGGUUAAGAGUUCCCGUUCGAAACGGGUAAGGGGAAACCUAAGUUUCACCUUCUUGAAGAGGGUGGUAUACACAAAGCAGAACAACUCGCCGUUGUUCCCUUUGUCAUCUGCGCAGACUGGCACGUCGAGGGGGC
RNAcentral lists this long non-coding RNA (264 nucleotides) under Phaseolus vulgaris (common bean). Its description in RNAcentral is "long non-coding RNA (PVUL_LNC000230)". The record is from RNAcentral. Lineage: Eukaryota; Viridiplantae; Streptophyta; Magnoliopsida; Fabales; Fabaceae.